UGUGCCCACACUACACCUUUGCUCAGCCUCAAGUCUAUUCCUCUCUCAGCUCCAUCUCCCGCCGCGCGCAACGAUGGCCACCAUUGGCAUGUUCAACGAGGAGGGCGAGAAUGUUGACCUCUACAUCCCGCGCAAGUGCCACGCGACCAACACGCUGAUUGAGGCGCACGACCACGCCGCCGUGCAGAUCUCGAUCGCGAACGUUGGCCCGAACGGCGUGAUCAACGGCACGACGACGACGCUGUGCAUUGCUGGCUACCUGCGCUCGCAGGGCGAGUCGGACCACGCGAUCAACCACAUCACGAUCGACCGCGGCAUCAUGCGCAUCAAGACCGGCAAGCCGAAGCGUGCGUCCAAGUCGAAGUCGAAGAAGCCCGCCGCGAAGGGCGCCGCCGCUGGCGCUGCUGCCCAGAAGGGUGGCCGCCCGUCUGUUCAGAAGGGUGCGCGCCCGGCUUCGCAGAAGGGUGCCCGCCCGCCAACGCAGAAGGGUGCCCGCCCGCCUACGCAGAAGGGUGCCCGCCCGCCUGCGCAGAAGGGUGCCGCUCCGGCUCGCAAGAACCGCGCUUAAGGCAGUUCAAAGGGGGAGGGGCGAAGUUUGACAACAACGAAGCAACAGAACAACGAGAAGGGAAGACACCGCUAAACGCCGCAGCGCGAGAGUGCGCUCGGACAGGCACACGCAGCCUCUUUCUCACUCGCCCUGUCUGCCUUUGUGCCGCUAAUCCGUGUCCGCCUCACACCCCCGCCUUCUCUCGGCUCCCUUGUGCGCGCGCCUUUUUGUGCUUCCCAUCGCGCUGGCGUCAGAAGGCAGAUGGAGCGGCCGUUCUCGGAGGCCACGUGAUCGCCUCCUGCACCCGUGUGCUUGUCGACGCCUGUGGCCGUCUACUUCCUUGCGCAAGUCCUUCUCCUACGCAGCUUCCCUCGCCGAGCCCGGCGCAUCGCAACGCAGGGGUUCACCCAAUGAGUACGCGCCUACACGCACGCGCAGAAGUUUAGAGGAGCAGCUCAUUCAAGUUGUGUAGCAUGUUUCUCCGUACAAAAGCGUGCGUGUGCAGCUUCUAAAGAUGUGAUGGGCACAUCCGGUGUGGGGGGAGCAGGGAUAGGUGCGAGGACCUCGAACUCGUGCAGGUGACGGCGACGAGGGGGCAAGUAAGGCGCAUCACCUUCGUUGAUACCCCCCGCAUCUCUUUGCUAAGUGCACUGCACCUCCCUCCUCCUGCAUUUUGUUUCUUUCUAUCGUGUGCCGCGCACGGACUCGUCUACACCGCCUGCUCUUCCGACCGUACCACCGUCCUUGUUGGACUGGGCUUGGAUAGGAGAGUGGCAGCGGUGGAGCGCCGGUAACGUUGUGGCCGGUGGUGGGUUACAGACACGCAGGCGAGAGGGGGAGGUGCGAGGGACUAGCAAUGACAAGGUAGUUCUGGUGUUCUUUAUAAUCGACCUUGACUGAGGCGCUUCUGCAUCCUCUCCAGUUCGCACGGGGAAGAUAAGAAGACUUGAGGGGCUGCGAAAAGGGUGGUGGAAGGUGGGGGCGGCAGAGAAGGCAACGGCGAGUGGGGAUUGGAAGAGAGAGCCUAGUGGUCUGCAUGCAUACACCCGUACAAGCGGGCCGCAGCGAGCACCGCCUACCUCCAUUCCUCUAUCCCUGCUCUGCGGGUCCUUCCUCCCCGACCCCCUUCUCCCCGCGCGCGGCUUCUCUUUGGUUUUCUUUUCAGUCUCUCCUGUGCAGCUUGGAAUUGCCUCACAGCGGCAAGCCAGCAGCGUCGGUUGGCCUUCCUCUCUGUUCUCUUUCUGAUGUGUUGCUACUUUCCGCUUGCUGUGCCGCCGCUUGUUCACGUGUCGCUCUCGCCUUCUCCCGCUUCGUAUCGUUUCUUGUAAUGGGCUACCAGGUACAGCUGGAGCGAAGCCACGGCCCAGAGAACGGGGUAGGAGGCUGUCAUUGCCUAUCAGGUGGACGGCAAGUCGAACUGCACCGAAAUCGGGAGUGUGGUGGGGUGGGCUAGAGUCUGACGAUGUUGUGCAGACUUUGUUUGGUUCCUUCGGCAUCCGAGAGGGCGGAGCUACGGCAUGGUGAGAGGGCGCAAGCGAUAAAAAAGCGAAUGGACACACGUGAUUUGGAUUCGAAGGGGAGCGUCUCGGCCAGAUAGGGGGGAGGAGGAGGAGGUGAGUAAGCACGUAGGCACACUUGCACACACACACACACACACACACACACUGGCACGUGCAUGUAUUCCACCUCUUGCUCGUGGUGGCGCUUUCUUUUCAUUUUUCUCUUUUUUUUCGCGCUGAGCGAUCGGGUGUUUGGGGCGCAGCGGCAGAGGAAGAGGGGUUGACGCACGGCGACAGCGCAGACUCUUGCAUCCCCCUCUCUCGCUUGGUGCGCUGCUCCCUUCCCUCUCCAUGACUCACGCAUCAUUUUUAGCAUAAACAGCAACG
RNAcentral lists this unclassified non-coding RNA (2436 nucleotides) under Leishmania donovani. RNAcentral describes it as "gene:LdHU3.11.0980(CDS-product:40S_ribosomal_prot ein_S21_putative)". Lineage: Eukaryota; Euglenozoa; Kinetoplastea; Trypanosomatida; Trypanosomatidae. The record is from RNAcentral.